Molecule: ribosomal RNA, 507 nt
Filed under: Phoma herbarum
Lineage: Eukaryota; Fungi; Ascomycota; Dothideomycetes; Pleosporales; Didymellaceae
Description: eukaryotic LSU rRNA
Rfam family: 5.8S ribosomal RNA (bases 160-313)
Source: RNAcentral
CCUGCGGAAGGAUCAUUACCUAGAGUUGUAGGCUUUGCCUGCUAUCUCUUACCCAUGUCUUUUGAGUACCUUACGUUUCCUCGGUGGGUUCGCCCACCGAUUGGACAAAUUUAAACCCUUUGCAGUUGAAAUCAGCGUCUGAAAAAACUUAAUAGUUACAACUUUCAACAACGGAUCUCUUGGUUCUGGCAUCGAUGAAGAACGCAGCGAAAUGCGAUAAGUAGUGUGAAUUGCAGAAUUCAGUGAAUCAUCGAAUCUUUGAACGCACAUUGCGCCCCUUGGUAUUCCAUGGGGCAUGCCUGUUCGAGCGUCAUUUGUACCUUCAAGCUCUGCUUGGUGUUGGGUGUUUGUCUCCUGUAGACUCGCCUUAAAACAAUUGGCAGCCGGCGUAUUGAUUUCGGAGCGCAGUACAUCUCGCGCUUUGCACUCAUAACGACGACAUCCAAAAGUACAUUUUUACACUCUUGACCUCGGAUCAGGUAGGGAUACCCGCUGAACUUAAGCAUA